UACGGGAGGGGCUAGCGCUGUUCGGAAUUACUGGGAGUAAAAAGGGCGUAGGCGGCUUACCAAGUUGGGGGUGAAAUCCCGGAGCUCAACUCCGGAACUGCCUUCAAAACUGGUAGGCUCGAGUCCGGAAGAGGGGCGUGGAAUUCCCAGUGUAGAGGUGAAAUUCGUAGAUAUUGGGAAGAACACCGGUGGCGAAGGCGGCGCCCUGGUCCGGUACUGACGCUGAGGCGCGAAAGCGUGGGGAGCAAACAGG
This 253-nucleotide ribosomal RNA is filed under the name uncultured bacterium. Its description in RNAcentral is "partial 16S ribosomal RNA". It matches the Rfam family "Bacterial small subunit ribosomal RNA", at positions 524 to 776 of the family's 1533-position model. The record is from RNAcentral.